Molecule: ribosomal RNA, 436 nt
Filed under: uncultured Bacteroides sp.
Lineage: Bacteria; Pseudomonadati; Bacteroidota; Bacteroidia; Bacteroidales; Bacteroidaceae
Description: bacterial SSU rRNA
Rfam family: Bacterial small subunit ribosomal RNA
Source: RNAcentral
CAGCAGUGAGGAAUAUUGGUCAAUGGGCGCGAGCCUGAACCAGCCAAGUAGCGUGAAGGAUGACUGCCCUAUGGGUUGUAAACUUCUUUUAUAUUAGAAUAAAGUGCAGUAUGUAUACUGUUUUGUAUGUAUAAUAUGAAUAAGGAUCGGCUAACUCCGUGCCAGCAGCCGCGGUAAUACGGAGGAUCCGAGCGUUAUCCGGAUUUAUUGGGUUUAAAGGGAGCGUAGGUGGACUGGUAAGUCAGUUGUGAAAGUUUGCGGCUCAACCGUAAAAUUGCAGUUGAUACUGUCAGUCUUGAGUACAGUAGAGGUGGGCGGAAUUCGUGGUGUAGCGGUGAAAUGCUUAGAUAUCACGAAGAACUCCGAUUGCGAAGGCAGCUCACUGGACUGCAACUGACACUGAUGCUCGAAAGUGUGGGUAUCAAACAGGAUUAGA